Long non-coding RNA from Vulpes vulpes (red fox), 1674 nucleotides. NCBI's taxonomy places the organism in Eukaryota, Metazoa, Chordata, Mammalia, Carnivora, Canidae. The record is from Ensembl.
UGUGUGUCAAAUUUGUAUCUAUUUGUCUAGGUGGAGAGAAUGCAUGGGUAGGUGAAUAGCAGUGAAUGAACCUUUGGAAGGUUUCCCAUCUCAAAGCAAGGCACUGGCAAUUCACUUUUGGGUGGAUGUGGGUGGAGGUGGGUUUAAAUUUAGACCCAACAAAAACACUCUCCUCAGAAAGUGAUACCCUUCUUUCUUCUGGAGUAUCAAAACCAUGAAAGUCAUAAUCUUUCUCUCUGUGAAGUCCACUGCAAGAAAGCUCAAAAACAGGUUUCCUUUUGAUUUUUAUUUCUAUUUUGAUGUUCUGUAUACAUGCCUUUUAAGCCGCCAGAAAUCAUUUUGGAGGGUGCAUGCUUCAUGAGACUUGACGCGCACUAAGGAAUCAUUAAAUCACGAGAAAAUGGAGCAAAGAUUGGUGAGGCCAAGGCUUCCUAAGGGGCUCAGUGGGGCGGGCAGACCAGGCAAGGGGCAGGCAAUGCGCCCUGCAGGGGCUGAGGCAAGGUCUCCAGUGCGGGGUUCUCAAGGCUGUGACUCCCCUAAGGAGGCACCUGCAGGCUCAGACUACUGCAGGAUCAGCGCGAGACUCCCCCCACCUCGCCAGCAACACUUCCAGCUUGGAGAGAGGAUGAGCCGUUGGAGGAGCUCUCAGGUCCCAGGAGGGAGCAGAAAUCAUCCUGCUGCAAGGGGCCAUGCUGGUCACCACCCCCACCGCACCCCCCGGCCUGUACCCAGGGACCUGGGUGCCAGAGCCCGAAGCCUAGUAAUCCAGGGCGAGCAUCUGAAGCCCACAUCCAGCCCUUACCAGCCUGACGACCUCGGGCAAGCUCUCAAGAGCCCGAGAAGCCAGCAUGGGGUGGGGGUGGGAGUGGGUAACGAUGCUGCUACCCCACGGGGCUAAGACUGCAGGAGCAACUGCGCACAGCACUUCGCACAAUGCCUGGCACCCACCAAGGGCCUGAUAGUCUGAUGGAUGUGGGCAGGAAGGGUGGCCCAGAUGGAUUCCUGGAGAGCUGGGGACCCCGGGAUAGUGGGACCCAGGGCUCAACCCCGCAGAUCGCCCCCCAAGAGCUGGGGACCCGGGCAGGGAGGCCGAGGCUCGCCCCGCGGACUGACCCCCAAGGGCUGGGGACCCGGGCAGGGAGGNCCCUCCCCUGCCCCGGCUUGUCCGCAGGACGCCCCGCGGCCCCGCUCCGGGGUCCUCCCUCCGGCCGCACCGGGCCCCGUGGCCCGCUGCCCGGCGGCGACAGCGGCACGGCGGGGCGGGAACCCACAGCCAGGGAGCAGGGCUCCCGCCAGGACCGCCGAGGACACCCGGGGAGCAGCCGGAGACCGAGGCCGCGGCCCGGAGCUGGAGGCUGCAGCCCUUGGCCCGGAACACCCGACCCUCCCGGGAGCGCGGAACCCGCCGCUGAGGGCCCAGGAGGCCCUGCCGGGACCGGAAGCCAACAGCCGCACUUCCGGCGGGGGAGGGGUGCAGGGCGGAGGCGGGCUCGCGUCGCCCAAAGGCGUCACUUCCGGGCGCGGCGCGGUGAGCGCGGGCGGCAUGGCGGGUGGGAGCGGGACCCGGAGCGGCCGCGGGAGCGGGGGCAGGAGGGCGGGAGCCCGGGACGCGGGGACCGGGACCCCGCCCGCCGACCCCUGCCGCCGGGAGCGGCUCCCGAGCAGUGCGGUUGA